GGAUUAGAUACCCUGGUAGUCCACGCCGUAAACGAUGUGUGCUAGCUGUCGGGUGUUCAGCACUCGGUGGCGGAGCGAAAGUAUUAAGCACACCGCCUGGGGAGUACGGCCGCAAGGUUAAAACUCAAAGGAAUUGACGGGGACCCGCACAAGCGGUGGAGCAUGUUGUUUAAUUCGAAGCAACGCGAAGAACCUUACCCACACUUGACAUCCUCCUUGGGACUUUCAGAGAUGAUUGUCUUCGGUUCGGCCGGGGGAGUGACAGGUGCUGCAUGGCUGUCGUCAGCUCGUGCCG
RNAcentral lists this ribosomal RNA (295 nucleotides) under uncultured bacterium. Its description in RNAcentral is "partial 16S ribosomal RNA". It matches the Rfam family "Bacterial small subunit ribosomal RNA", at positions 775 to 1067 of the family's 1533-position model. The record is from RNAcentral.